This is a long non-coding RNA of Chiroxiphia lanceolata (lance-tailed manakin), 4567 nucleotides long. RefSeq lists it as uncharacterized. The transcript has 4 exons. NCBI's taxonomy places the organism in Eukaryota, Metazoa, Chordata, Aves, Passeriformes, Pipridae. The record is from RefSeq and is a predicted model, not a curated record.
GGAGGCUGUAGCCAGGGCUGGGAGAGGUAGAAUGGCUUGAAAACCAAGGACAGAAAAGGCUGCCACGCAUCCCAGAGUGUGAGGGACAACUCAAAGAAUUCAGGACAUCCCCAGUGAAGCAAGAGGGGACACCUGGAAAUGUAACUGGGAGCAAAGUCUCUUCACCGUUGUGUGGCAGCAUACUGCACCUUACAGUAUGAAAAGGAGAAGGGAUUCCUCUGACUGUUUCUGGGUAGAGAAGAUCCUUCCAAGUGAGAAUGAGGAGGACUUUUUCUGACAGCUUCCAAAACAAUGUCACACAUUGGAGACCAGCACCUCAAGUAUGAGAGCAGACUGCCACAGCACGAGCAAAAGGCUCCAAAAGAAGCAAGCAGUGGUUUUAAAGAGGGAGCCUCUAAUUUAAGAAUGAAAAUUUUAAACUAUGACUGCUAGUUACAUCAGUCAUUAUGCUGCUGCUGCCAACAAAAUUACUCCCUCAUUCAGUUAAGCCACUCAAACACCCUGCUUUUACUAAUGACUGUUGCUAGACCUUGCCCAGCUGCAAAGAACAGUCCUGGAGCCAUCAACAAACACCCAGGGAGGGAUCAGACCAUCUACCAGCUAGGACUUCACAGCCAACACACCAUCUGGGACACAGUCUUCACUGAUCUGAAAUGGAUGAGAACUGACAAGCUAAAUGUUCAUCCCAGAAGUCCCCUGCCAGCAGGUAGCUGCUAGGUGACCUCUGGAAAGGUAAUUCAGCCAACUGGAUUUGGUCCAAUUUGGAGAGCACAGAUCUCCAAAAACUAACAGUACUACUGCAAGACAAACAGAUCUGCAUAACAGCUACCUGCUUGCUGCUGCCUGGGAACAGCCCCUCCAUGUCAGGAGAGAACUCUGCUAGUUAGCAGAGUUAGCAGUUAGCAGUCUUCCUGCUCCAACUGGGAAAGAAAUGUACCUGCACUGAAGCAGCUUGUGAUAUAACCUAGAGAGACAGAUGUAUUUCUUAAACAGUAGAGUAAGUCUGUACCUGCUGGAACCGGAAUGAUUCUGAUCUCUUUUUCUGAUUCAGUUGCCACUCCUUAAAAUGAAGUACAGCUUCAUCCACAGUGAGUAUGCCCAUUUUCACUUGCUCCUGUAAUGUAAUCAGCUGCCGUUGGCCUGGGGUUUUCAUUCCAGCAAAUGGAUCAUAUAUGCUUGAUUGAGACAGGUCCCUUACAGGCCUGACUAUUGUCUCUGAAGAGAGAACACCACCAAAAGUAUUAUUGAACUUGUGGCAUCUGCCUUCCUCACUGAAUAGAAAGAGCUCAAGCACCCUUGAUAUAGCAGAGAUGCAAAACAAUAAAAAAAAUUAUCAGUAUUACAGACUGAAUGUUUUCUAAGAAGUGUUUUGUUCUUAGGCCAUCCUGCUACUCCUUAGGGCUAAAAGCCCAGCUGAGAGGCAGCCUUGAACACAGAUAUUUCCCAGAGAUAAUCUCUGUUCUUAAAAACAUAAUUUAAGUGAACAUCACAAAAUGUAUUCCUUAAAGUGCUCAGCUUCCUCAGCAAUCCACAAAACAGAGCUUUCACCUUGGCAGUCACAAACCUAGACUCUUCCUAGGUAAUUUGUACAGCAUAAGUCCAGAAACUGAAAACUCAUUCUACUGAUGCUGGCAUUUUGUAACUCAUUUGUAACAUAAAGAGGAGUUCCCAACACAUGAGAUAAAAGCUUAGAUGUGGUACCUGGCACUCUGAUAGUGCACAGGAUAAGAAGUGAAAGUAUGAGGACAGAGGUUUGGAGGUGCAGAGAGCAAUGGCAAUCGGUUCACUAGAAGUGAAAUCACGGGAUAAUGAUUAACAAGGAGUGGCUAUAUACAGAACAUUAAAAGAGGGACAUCAUUUGCAUGAAGUAAAUACGGUUCACAUCAUAAAAAAGGACUUCAAUGACCAUUAUGAUCCUGAAUGAGGAUAAACUCCAAGACAGGGGAUACAUGUAGAGUACAUGAUAAAAGGAUAUAGUUAUAAAAGUUUCCAAUGUCACAUGAGGUCAAAAAGGUUGGGUCAUUCAUAAAGGACUAUUAUCCCCAGAGCUUUGUAAAACAGUCUAUUCUGUCAUAUUUCAUGCAAAUGAAGCUAUCUCAGCAGAUCUGCUUUUGGACUACUGGAAGGAUUUUCAGAGUGAACUUCUGACUUACCUUUCUUAAUCCUUCCUCUAGGGACAUAAAGAUUCUCAGGUCUUUUAGCUUUCUGUGCAAAAACUGCAAAACAAACCUUCUUUAGAUACUGAAAUGCAUCUCAUGAAGACAGAAAUAGCAUGGAUGAAUAUGGGAAGCACACAAUUCUGUAGUGCAUUACAGCUUCUGUUACCCUACUAAGUCCAUUAAAGAAAACAAAGAUCUGUACAGAAGAAUUCCCUUUCUAUUGACCUCAAAGAAUUUAGCCCAGUCACCUCUAAAAGAAAUCUGGACAUGGUCUCCCCAUAAUCCUGUCAUGGGAGGAAGGAGAAGUCACUAAAAUUACUCUCUCACAUGGUACUGUGGUUCUUGUGAGAAUGUUUGUGAAAUAUGACCAAGAUUUCCAAAACUGUCUAGCAAACUAAGAGGCACAAUCUUCUUCAAUUUCAAUUAAACCCCAUCUCAGAGGGAGAUCAUGCCCUAUAUAAAUGUGAUUGAAUCAAUGAUACUAUUACAGAGUAGCAAUGUCUCAAUUUAUUAGCUUGAUUGUGUCCUUAUAAUAUCAGGAUCUUUCCUUUGUAGUUGGAUUUGUUUAUACCAUUUGGGGGUAAUCUGUCAUCCUACUUCUUUCAUUAAGAGCAAGCUCAGGCCACGAUCUUGAGAUACAAUAUCCCCAUAUUUUCAAAGUAGACAGAAGAUGAAAAAUAUAUGAAAUUGGAUCCCAAAGGUGGUCCAACUCCAGAGUCAAAUAAUACAGGGAUCUCAAAAAGUGUUGGCUUUCUUGGCAUUUAUUUGGCAACUGAAGCCCAUGUCAAUGCCAUACUACAGUUGACUAGUCUACGUUUCCACUGGUACCCAACUCACUUUUGGAGAUGUACAGUUCAUUGUCUGGCUGUGGAGAACUAGACUCUGGUCUUGGAACAGGGACUGGAGGUCUGUUAGCCAUUUCCUGCGGAAAAGUAUCUUGUUCCACUGGGUAGUAUACAUCUUCACCACAUGGCUCGUAAACUUCCUCUGAAUCUGGUACAUCCAUGCUACCGCCUACAACAGAGUACAGUUUGUAAGAAUAACAACCUGGUCACUUCACUGAACACUGGAUCCCUCCAGAUGCAUUAUGUACCACAUUUUUACCAAGCUGGCCAUUUCACAGGCAAAAGCAUCCAGUUCUGCAGUGACUUCAGUGUGCCAAAGCCCUUCAGGACAGGACUUGACUUGAUAAAGUCAUGAACAUCUAGUAGCAUGUAACUGUUUGCCACUAAACCUGUACCACCUGUUUUGGUGAAGAAAUAGUGAAAAACCUCCUAACUCUUUUUAAGAACUUGAAGAACAAUUAGUAUAAUUAAUUCCAGUUAAUUGACAUACUAUAGUUAACAAAUCAAACAGAGCACUGGUUUCCAAAAACUAUUUAUGAUAGUCUACAAAGUACUAAAGAGAAUUGUUCCUUUGUCUGAAGCAAGCAAACAGUGUGGACUAUCUCCUAUCCUUAAGAGAUGAACAAGAAAUCUCAAAUUCUAUUUAACUGCUUUAACUGUGCUGCUGCCAUCCCUCCCUCCAAACAGGUCUCACCUUCUAAAAACCUGCGGAGCAUGGAGUCUUUUGUAUUUAAAGAAACUUCAUCUCCAGCAACUGGAGUGUCUGGUUUGGACUGAAGCAUCUCUACAUCUGAAAAAAAAAAUAAUCAGAAUUAUGAACCUGUUAAUUAUAUGCUUAAAUGUAUGGAACAAUGUAAUGUAAUAUAAUAUAAUAAACUGAUGUGGUAUUUCUGGCUGGACCUUCGGUUUGUGGUGACAACCAAAGAAGAAGCCGGGUAACUGACCAGACAUAUUCCUCAAAAAAGGCUUCUGAGUUGCCAUGUUCAGUCCACUCCGCACAAAUCUUUUCCAGCUGCCCGAUGCUUACACUUGAGGGUGACUAACAUUGCUGUUGAGAAGUUCUGACAAGGCUUCAAGCAGGCACUGAGUAUUGGUUACUACUGAGAGUAUGUUGGGCAGAUUAAAGUUUUGGCCUCUGCAGAGGGCUCUCGAGAGGAAACCUGCGAUUUUGCAAGGCAAGACAUUAAAGGCAAUUUUCCCAUGACCCAGAAAAUAGUGUUUGUUUUGUUUAUUAGCUAAAAGUCAAAACAGUUGGCUGAGUUAAUUAGUUAGACUGGAAGGUGUUUAGGGGGUCAGAUGAUAAUCCAGUAUUGAGGAAGGAGUGACAGCAAACAGUAAGAUACUUUGUUAAUUCGGUGUUUUACAUGAAGAAUUCUGAUUUUUUUUAAAAAAGGGUCAACCUCACUGUAACCCUAAAACUAAUCCUAAAACUAAAAUUAAAUGUUAGGUAACCAUGCUCCUAAUGAUAUUAAAACUAAGACUGAUUACUAAGUGAAUUGUUGAGGCAUAUCUAUUACUGUGUCAUAAUUCUAUUGCUAUAUAAACUAGAUGGUUUGGGUUAUA